RNAcentral lists this small nuclear RNA (63 nucleotides) under Cervus elaphus hippelaphus. The record is from RNAcentral. Lineage: Eukaryota; Metazoa; Chordata; Mammalia; Artiodactyla; Cervidae.
GUGCUCGCUUUGGCAGCACAUAUACUGGAAUUGGAACAAUGCAGAGAUUAGCGUGGCCCCUGC